GACGAACGCUGGCGGCGUGCCUAAUACAUGCAAGUUGAGCGCUGAAGGUUGGUACUUGUACCAACUGGAUGAGCAGCGAACGGGUGAGUAACGCGUGGGGAAUCUGCCUUUGAGCGGGGGACAACAUUUGGAAACGAAUGCUAAUACCGCAUAAAAACUUUAAACACAAGUUUUAAGUUUGAAAGAUGCAAUUGCAUCACUCAAAGAUGAUCCCGCGUUGUAUUAGCUAGUUGGUGAGGUAAAGGCUCACCAAGGCGAUGAUACAUAGCCGACCUGAGAGGGUGAUCGGCCACAUUGGGACUGAGACACGGCCCAAACUCCUACGGGAGGCAGCAGUAGGGGAUCUUCGGCAAUGGACGAAAGUCUGACCGAGCAACGCCGCGUGAGUGAAGAAGGUUUUCGGAUCGUAAAACUCGGUUGGUAGAGAAGAACGUUGGUGAGAGUGGAAAGCUCAUCAAGUGACGGUAACUACCCAGAAAGGGACGGCUAACUACGUG
RNAcentral lists this ribosomal RNA (497 nucleotides) under uncultured bacterium. Its description in RNAcentral is "partial 16S ribosomal RNA". It matches the Rfam family "Bacterial small subunit ribosomal RNA", at positions 28 to 507 of the family's 1533-position model. The record is from RNAcentral.